CUGAAUGGGGAAACCCACCUGUCAUAAGGCAGGUAUCGUAUGAUGAAUACAUAGUCAUACGAGGCGAACGAGGGGAAGUGAAACAUCUCAGUACCCUUAGGAAAAGAAAUCAAUUGAGAUUCCCUUAGUAGCGGCGAGCGAACGGGGAAAAGCCCAUUAAGUUAUCUAAGUUCUAGUGGAAUGCUCUGGGAAGUGCAACCAUAGUGGGUGAUAGUCCUGUACACGAAAGGGCUUAGAUAAUGAUGUCGAGUAGGGCGAGGCACGUGAAACCUUGUCUGAAUAUGGGGGGACCAUCCUCCAAGGCUAAAUACUCCUGACUGACCGAUAGUGAACCAGUACCGUGAGGGAAAGGCGAAAAGAACCCCUGUGAGGGGAGUGAAAUAGAUCCUGAAACCGCAUGCAUACAAGCAGUGGGAGCCGGCAUUGCGUCCGGUGACUGCGUACCUUUUGUAUAAUGGGUCAGCGACUUAUAUUCAGUAGCAAGGUUAACCGAAUAGGGGAGCCGUAGAGAAAUCGAGUCUUAAUAGGGCGAAUUAGUUGCUGGGUAUAGACCCGAAACCAGGUGAUCUAUCCAUGAGCAGGUUGAAGGUUGGGUAACACUAACUGGAGGACCGAACCCACUGUCGUUGAAAAGCCAGGGGAUGACUUGUGGAUAGGGGUGAAAGGCUAAUCAAACUCGGUGAUAGCUGGUUCUCCCCGAAAGCUAUUUAGGUAGCGCCUCGGACGAAUACCAUUGGGGGUAGAGCACUGUUUCGGCUAGGGGGUCAUCCCGACUUACCAAACCGAUGCAAACUCCGAAUACCAAUGAGUACUAUCCGGGAGACAGACUGCGGGUGCUAACGUCCGUAGUCAAGAGGAAAACAAUCCAGACCGCCAGCUAAGGCCCCAAAAUUAUAGUUAAGUGGGAAACGAUGUGGGAAGGCAUAGACAGCUAGGAGGUUGGCUUAGAAGCAGCCACCCUUUAAAGAAAGCGUAAUAGCUCACUAGUCGAGUCGGCCUGCGCGGAAGAUGUAACGGGGCUAAAACUAUAUGCCGAAGCUGCGGAUUUGCAAUUUAUUGCAAGUGGUAGGGGAGCGUUCUGUAAGCCGAUGAAGGUGUAUUGAGAAGUAUGCUGGAGGUAUCAGAAGUGCGAAUGCUGACGUGAGUAACGACAAUGCGAGUGAAAAACUCGCACGCUGAAAGACCAAGGGUUCCAGUCCAACGUUAAUCGGGGCUGGGUGAGUCGACCCCUAAGGCGAGGCCGAGAGGCGUAGUCGAUGGGAAAUUGGUUAAUAUUCCAAUACUUCUGUGUAAUGCGAUGAGAGGACGGAGAAGGUUAAGUCAGCCUGGCGUUGGUUGUCCAGGUGAAAGGUUGUAGGCAUGUAUCUUAGGCAAAUCCGGGGUGCUCUAUGCUGAGAACUGAUAGCAAGCUGUACUUGUACAGUGAAGUGGCUGAUACCAUGCUUCCAGGAAAAGUCUCUAAGCUUCAGUUACAUAGGAAUCGUACCCGAAACCGACACAGGUGGUCAGGUCGAGUAGACCAAAGCGCUUGAGAGAACUCUGCUGAAGGAACUAGGCAAAAUGGUACCGUAACUUCGGGAGAAGGUACGCUGCCGACGGUGAUAGGAUUUACUCCUUGAGCUAUUGGCAGCCACAGAAACCAGGCCCCUGCAACUGUUUAUUAAAAACAUAGCACUCUGCAAACACGAAAGUGGACGUAUAGGGUGUGAUGCCUGCCCGGUGCUGGAAGGUUAAUUGAUGGGGUUAGCGUAAGCGAAGCUCUUGAUCGAAGCCCCAGUAAACGGCGGCCGUAACUAUAACGGUCCUAAGGUAGCGAAAUUCCUUGUCGGGUAAGUUCCGACCUGCACGA
This 1849-nucleotide ribosomal RNA is filed under the name wastewater metagenome. RNAcentral's name for it is "bacterial LSU rRNA". It matches the Rfam family "Bacterial large subunit ribosomal RNA", at positions 114 to 1995 of the family's 2925-position model. The record is from RNAcentral.